Non-coding RNA from Clostridium sp. CAG:762, 362 nucleotides. The record is from Rfam. Lineage: Bacteria; Bacillati; Bacillota; Clostridia; Eubacteriales; Clostridiaceae.
GGGGCUGUUAUUUGGCUUCGACAGGAACAAGAGUGUUUAAGUGGCAAGUCGAAAGCUACUAGCGUUAAAGUGCAAAAUAAAAUAACUGGAAACAAUAGUUUCAACUACGCUCCUUCUUUUGCCUAAUUUAAGGCAAGGAGUGUGCUUCUGUAAUUCCUCUGUCUGUGGGAGUUAUAAGGGGCUUAUUUAGCAGACUAUAUUAUCAAGUUUUUUAGGCGAAGAUAACGAAUUUUAGCUAAAAUGGUAAGUGUCUUAAGUUGUUAAUUACUAUGAUACUUAUGAGAUUUAAUAAUUAACUAAACUUGUAGAAACUUAAAAUUAUCUUUUCCUGGACAGGGGUUCGACUCCCCUCAGCUCCACCA